UGAGGAAUAUUGGUCAAUGGGCGGAAGCCUGAACCAGCCAAGUCGCGUGAGGGAAGACGGUCCUAUGGAUUGUAAAACCCUUUCAGGGUUGCAGGGCAAGACCAUGACUUGAUACGUGUAACAGGUUGGAGAGUACCCUGAGAAAAAGCAUCGGCUAACUCCGUGCCAGCAGCCGCGGUAAUACGGAGGAUGCGAGCGUUAUCCGGAUUUAUUGGGUUUAAAGGGUGCGUAGGCGGGCUGGUAAGUCAGCGGUAAAAAUGCGGUGCUCAACGCCGUAGUGCCGUUGAAACUGCCGGUCUUGAGUGAGCGAGAAGUAUGCGGAAUGCGUGGUGUAGCGGUGAAAUGCAUAGAUAUCACGCAGAACUCCGAUUGCGAAGGCAGCAUACCGGCGCCCGACUGACGCUCAUGCACGAAAGCGUGGGUAUCGAAACA
RNAcentral lists this ribosomal RNA (432 nucleotides) under uncultured Porphyromonadaceae bacterium. RNAcentral describes it as "bacterial SSU rRNA". It matches the Rfam family "Bacterial small subunit ribosomal RNA", at positions 355 to 775 of the family's 1533-position model. The record is from RNAcentral. Lineage: Bacteria; Pseudomonadati; Bacteroidota; Bacteroidia; Bacteroidales; Porphyromonadaceae.